Dermochelys coriacea (leatherback sea turtle) is the source of this 369-nucleotide long non-coding RNA. RefSeq lists it as uncharacterized. The transcript has 3 exons. The record is from RefSeq and is a predicted model, not a curated record. NCBI's taxonomy places the organism in Eukaryota, Metazoa, Chordata, Testudines, Dermochelyidae.
GGAAUGUACCUAGCAGGGAUAGGUGGUAGAUAAGGGAAGGGUUUGUCUAUUGGCUAAGGUUUCUGAUGCAUGAGGGCAACAUGCUUUGCUAAAAGGUAUAUAAUCUUUGUAUAACCUGCAUUCGGCGUCCCCUUCUGACUAGCAAGGGGAUACAACGCUCGAGCGUAAUAAACUUAAUAUCUUUGGGAACUCUGCAGUUGUGGACUUUGUUCGUGUGCCUCAGCCUAGACUCGAACUGCGCAUGACCUAUCAGGUAUAAUUUGCAACAGUUCUUGGCGACCCAGAUGGGACUCUAGGCUCGCCCCAAUGAGCGAGACUGCACUCCUCCUCUCGGACAGCUCCAGCCAGCACAGGCUGCAUGGGUUUCAA